UCGGAACGUGCCCAGUCGUGGGGGAUAACGCAGCGAAAGCUGUGCUAAUACCGCAUACGAUCUACGGAUGAAAGCGGGGGAUCGCAAGACCUCGCGCGAUUGGAGCGGCCGAUGGCAGAUUAGGUAGUUGGUGGGGUAAAGGCUCACCAAGCCGACGAUCUGUAGCUGGUCUGAGAGGACGACCAGCCACACUGGGACUGAGACACGGCCCAG
Molecule: ribosomal RNA, 213 nt
Filed under: uncultured bacterium
Lineage: Bacteria
Description: partial 16S ribosomal RNA
Rfam family: Bacterial small subunit ribosomal RNA
Source: RNAcentral